This 538-nucleotide ribosomal RNA is filed under the name Kyklioacalles aubei. RNAcentral describes it as "partial 16S ribosomal RNA". It matches the Rfam family "Bacterial large subunit ribosomal RNA", at positions 1825 to 2625 of the family's 2925-position model. The record is from RNAcentral. Lineage: Eukaryota; Metazoa; Arthropoda; Insecta; Coleoptera; Curculionidae.
GGCCUUUUGAAAAUGAUUUAAGGUUUAGCCUGCCCAAUGAUGUAAUAAUUUAAUGGCCGCAGUAUUCUGACUGUGCAAAGGUAGCAUAAUCAUUAGUUUUUUAAUUGAAAGCUUGUAUGAAAGGUUUGAUGAGAAAAAAGCUGUCUCUAUAUAAAUUUUUAGAAUUUUAUUUUUAAGUUAAAAAGCUUAAAUUUUCAUUGAAGACGAGAAGACCCUAUAGAGUUUGAUUUAUACGAUAGUAAGUAAAAUUUAGUAAUUAAAAACUUAUUUAUUAUUAUAUAAAUUUGGUUGGGGUGAUUGAAAAAUUUAUAAAACUUUUUUUGUAUUUUUACAUUUAUUUGUGAAUAUUUGAUCCUUUAUAGAUUAUAAGAUGAAAUUACCUUAGGGAUAACAGCGUAAUUUUUUUUAGAGUUCUUAUCGAAAAAAGAGAUUGCGACCUCGAUGUUGGAUUAAAAAUAAAUUUUUGGUGUAGAAGCUAAUAAAUUAGGUCUGUUCGACCUUUAAAUUUUUACAUGAUCUGAGUUUAAACCGGUGUAAG